AUUGAACGCUGGCGGCAGGCUUAACACAUGCAAGUCGAACGGUAACAUAAAGAAGCUUGCUUCUUUGAUGACGAGUGGCGGACGGGUGAGUAAUGCUUGGGAAUCUAGCUUAUGGAGGGGGAUAACUACGGGAAACUGUAGCUAAUACCGCGUAGAAUCGAGAGAUGAAAGUGUGGGACCUUCGGGCCACAUGCCAUAGGAUGAGCCCAAGUGGGAUUGGGUAGUUGGUGAGGUAAAGGCUCACCAAGCCGACGAUCUCUAGCUGGUCUGAGAGGAUGACCAGCCACACUGGGACUGAGACACGGCCCAGACUCCUACGGGAGGCAGCAGUGGGGAAUAUUGCGCAAUGGGGGCAACCCUGACGCAGCCAUGCCGCGUGAAUGAAGAAGGCCUUCGGGUUGUAAAGUUUCUUUCGGUAGCGAGGAAGGC
RNAcentral lists this ribosomal RNA (429 nucleotides) under Terrahaemophilus aromaticivorans. RNAcentral describes it as "bacterial SSU rRNA". It matches the Rfam family "Bacterial small subunit ribosomal RNA", at positions 30 to 452 of the family's 1533-position model. The record is from RNAcentral. Lineage: Bacteria; Pseudomonadati; Pseudomonadota; Gammaproteobacteria; Pasteurellales; Pasteurellaceae.